CGAGCCGGGCGGACGGCCGCGUGGGGUUCCUUCGUGAGCCUCCCGAGGAACGUCCGGGCUCCACAGGGCAGGGUGGUGGCUAACGGCCACCCGGGGUGACCCGCGGGACAGUGCCACAGAAAACAAACCGCCCAGCACUCAGGUGCUGGGUAAGGGUGAAACGGCGGUGUAAGAGACCACCAGUGCCCAGGGUGACCUGGGCAGCUAGGUAAACCCCACCCGGAGCAAGGUCAAGAGGGAGCACCCCGGUGCUCCUGCGCGGACGUUCGAGGGCUGCCCGCCCGAGUCCGCGGGUAGACCGCACGAGGCCGGCGGCAACGCCGGUCCUAGAUGGAUGGCCGUCGCCGGAGGCUCCGCGAGGAGCCCCCGGAACAGAACCCGGCGUACAGCCCGACUCGUCUG
RNAcentral lists this RNase P RNA (402 nucleotides) under Streptomyces cupreus. RNAcentral describes it as "Streptomyces sp. PSKA01 RNase P RNA component class A". It matches the Rfam family "Bacterial RNase P class A". From Rfam's summary of the family: Ribonuclease P (RNase P) is a ubiquitous endoribonuclease, found in archaea, bacteria and eukarya as well as chloroplasts and mitochondria. Its best characterised activity is the generation of mature 5'-ends of tRNAs by cleaving the 5'-leader elements of precursor-tRNAs. The record is from RNAcentral. Lineage: Bacteria; Bacillati; Actinomycetota; Actinomycetes; Kitasatosporales; Streptomycetaceae.